AGACAGACUAUGAAGAGAUACAUAGGGUGAGAAACGGAGGCCUUCAGCCAACAGCUGGGAGAAGCUGAGUCCCAUCAGCCAUUCAAAAGACUGCAGCCCCAGCCAAGAGUUUGAUGUAACCUCAGGAGAGACCCUGAGCCAGAACCACCUAGAAAUCUCCAAGUGAGAAGACCUUACUUGUCUUCUGAAAGUCUGGCCAACGAGCUAUACCUAGUGAUUCCAAAGUCCACAUAUAUUUACUCUGUUCUCACUGUACAAAGUAACCACUCUGAAGUCAAAAAAGCUGGGAUACAUGAAGACUGCCAUCCCUUGAGUCACUUGCCCUGUAGCUGCCACUGUUGGAAAAGGGCUUGCUUCUGUGUCCUUGUGCCCACUUUGAAAAUCCCUGGGAAGUCCUUGGAGUCAGAUGAGCAGGCCUCCGCCACUCUGCCAAAAAGUCUGUUCAACGUGCCUGCGUCACCUUCAGCCAUGAUAAUAAGUUUCCUGAGGCCUCCCCAGCCAUGCAGAACUCAGGAAGUUUCACAUCACUAGAGAAGAGAGAAGAAGGACAUUUGUACUGGGAGGAGUCGACCGGUCCCAGUAAGGAGAAAGUAGCUACAGCGUCAUGGGUGAGCUGGGUCCCCCAAAAAGGAACUUUAAGGGAAUGGACUGAAUCAAGUCUGAGAUGUCCCCAAAGCAAGACCAAAGAACUGAGGAAGAGAAGCAUUCAUCAGAAACCAAAAUUCAGCUACAAGUGAGCAUCCAGAUGGAGGUAUUAUGAAGAGGAACUGAGACUGAGGGCAAAAGGUGCCAGCCAGAAUCCUGGAUAGGAGAGCAAGAACCAGGACCUCAUUUAAGAGACAACCUGCUUAAGGCAGAGUAAGGUGAGAUUGGAUUCACGCAAAGACCUGGAAUUCAAGUAGGUUAAUGAACAGACAGUGUGUGCCUAUACCACGAAUUUACAAUAAUAAUAAGGGUGCUAAUAAUCACA
Homo sapiens (human) is the source of this 970-nucleotide long non-coding RNA. NCBI's taxonomy places the organism in Eukaryota, Metazoa, Chordata, Mammalia, Primates, Hominidae. The record is from Ensembl.